This 593-nucleotide long non-coding RNA is filed under the name Rhinopithecus bieti (black snub-nosed monkey). Its description in RNAcentral is "lncRNA (ENSRBIG00000046091.1)". The record is from RNAcentral. Lineage: Eukaryota; Metazoa; Chordata; Mammalia; Primates; Cercopithecidae.
GCAGAACCCACCAUAUGCCAAGGGUGUUACAAACAGAUCUCAUCCUGCCUGGGAAAACUUGACACUCUGCCUGGUGCGGGGAUUGGGAGGCUAACCAAGGGAGCAUGGAAUCCCCUCUGCAGUUAUGUUUGCUUGUGCAUCUCCGGCAGCUGGAGGACGAAUCAUAUCAAGCUGAUGAGUGUGUCACACUUUUCAUCCCCCAAGAGCUGCAAUGAAGACCAAGACAAACAGUAGAUUAACAGUGCUACCUUUUAUAAGACUGAUUAGUUCCUAAAAUAUGCUGAAAGGAAACAAAACCAAAAAGAAAAGAGUGGAAAGGGGGGUGAGACAGAAACCUUUGUCGGUGAGUUUGAAACAGCUCCAUUUCUUUCAUUAGUUGCAGAUAUUGACCUUCCGAUGAAAUAUUUUCUUUGUGUGAGAAGGCUUUGCCAAGGUUGCAUUUAUUAGGCAGGUGCCUGGUAAGUGUUUCUAAGCAAAUAUUACUUUACUGCCUAAUUUUGAUUUAAGGGGAGAGUUGUACCAGGGAUGAAUUUGGAAAACAUUUGAUGAUGGUUCAUCUGCCGCCCCUUAGAGCAGGGGCUAUCAAGUGGUUG